This is a long non-coding RNA of Lycium barbarum (goji berry), 4425 nucleotides long. RefSeq lists it as uncharacterized. Lineage: Eukaryota; Viridiplantae; Streptophyta; Magnoliopsida; Solanales; Solanaceae. The record is from RefSeq and is a predicted model, not a curated record. The transcript is spliced from 3 exons.
UAAAGGGUUUCUAGGGUAGAACUAGAAACCCCUGAAUAUUAAUGGUUUUUGUCUCAUUGAGACCCAAAGCUUCGAUUCUCACUGGUUCAUGAAGAACCACAUGGAUUGACCAAGCUUUGAAUUCGAAUCUGACCCUUCACACCUUAUUUUUCUUGAAUCUUGACCGUUAAAACGGUUUUUUGGGAGAAUUUUUCUCAAAUCUAUAAAAGUUCCUCAUCGGCUAAUGUAGGGUUUCUCACUGAUUUGGGGUUCUAUAAUAGAACCCCAUUUCUCAAGAUUUAAAGAGAGGAAGAUACGCAUACACCCAGAUUUUGAGCAUCAAGACUUAAAAUUAGGGUUUUAGUUCAAAAAUUUUAUUUAACUUUUCAAGUUGAGUCUCUAGUUUUCAAAGUUUAAUUACUUGUUCUUAUUUUGGUGGCUGAGUUCGAGAUUGGAAGCACAAAAGGCUCCAGAUUCAUUCUUAUCUCGGCUGCGCAACAAAUAGGCAAUUACUUAUCAUUUUAUUGCUUUUAUCUAAUUUUCGCUUAGUUUAGAUGUGCAUUUAGUUAUGAUCUGCUUAGUUUAAUAUUCUGUCUGCUAAUUUAGGUGUUGGUUUGUUUUUCAUUUUGUUAAUUUAAGUGUUGAUUCAUUAGCUUUUUGCUUAAGUAUUCUGCUUAGUCUCAGUUGCUCUUGAUAAUGUUUUAGUUAUUGUCUAGCCAUGUAGAUCAUUGAUGUAUUUGUGUAUUUUGUUUUGAGCCUGAAUCUUUAUUGUCUAUGUUUAAAUUGGGACCUGUUGUGAUUGGUUUAAUUAGAUCUUAGAUGGUUGAUCACCUUAAAUGAAGGAAAUUUGAAAUAAUCAAAGAUUUUUGGUAUGAAUUCAGAACUGGAAAUGGUAAUAUGACUUUGUUUUGCUAUUGAUGUAUCGAAAUGGUCCUGAUAGCUUAUGAAUUAAAAAAAAAAUGAAAUCAUAGUGUCACUCCCUUAUCUUAAAUACUUAGCUUAACUACACAGAUGUCUAAACAACCAAAAACAAUGGUGUUCAGUAGUUUGAAAUAUGAAACUGGCCUGAUUGCUUGAUGUCAUAAGUGUCUCAAUCCCUUUUCAAGACCUGUUAGCUUGAAUAUGUGCAUCUUGAUGAACCUGUCUUGGUGUUUCUUAUCCCACAACCAUUGUGUCUUUGAAACUUAUCUAUGUUUGAAGUCCUAAAGAAGUUCAUUUAGGUUGAAAACUGAAAAGAUGAACCUUAAGGUUCAAAUCUGAUUUCUGACUGCUAAAAUGGGUCUAAAUGAUUUUUAUUAAUCAGUAAAGUGAACUGGAGAAGUCUUUUGACACUUCAUUUGGUCUGAACUAGGACUCUAUGAUGUUAGAGUUCUUUAAUGGCUUUGAACAUGUAAUUCAGGUCUAAGGUAGGCUAACAUAAGACAUUGAUAUGACAUUUGUGCUAAUGGUGUUUCACUAAAACCAAUCACUUAGUCUUAAAGGAUCAAGAAGUGUAAAAGGGGAGCUUGAUAUGAAUCUAUCUAUAUCUUUCUUUGAUAAACUGUUUGCAUCAUUUUAAGUAUUAUGGUUCAAAUGAUAAGUGUGUGGUGAUCAUGAUUAAGAAUGAGAUUGAGAGUGGUGUUUGCCUCUCUCUCUCUCUGGGGUUAAAUUAUGUUGUGUCUGGCCUUGUCUUGUUCGGUUGUGUCAAAUCAGGCCUAAAAAUGAGAUGUGCAGAUCUGUUUUGAACUCUGUCAUUAUCAAAAAAGGGAUUAAAAUUCAUACCAUAAUUAGAAUUCUAGGCUAAAUAACUAAAAGUACUCAUCUAAUCUAUGUUAGUCAAGUGUUUGGUUGGGAAUUGAUUCAAUGAUGGUAUUUGUAGGGAUAUACGUGUUCAUGGGCAAGCUAUGAACCACUUGACAAUAGAGGAGCCUUUUAAAGGCAUCUUAGAGAGAGGAUUGGGAAGAACCAAGUCCAACUUGGUUCGUAGUACCUUCCUCCAAAUAAAAGGUUCCAUGGCAUGUCUAUGGGGUGUGUUUGCCAUAUGAAUACAUUUGACUCUACAAUCCUGUCAUUAAAUUAAAGGGCAAAGGAUAAAACUGAUGCUAUCUUGUUUAAGAUAGGUUGUUAAAUUAAAUGGUGGACCUGUCUGGGUGGAGUUGACUGAUUUUUGGGAAUAAGAAAUUAAUUGGUUAAGUUAAAGUCUUGAUAGUAAAAUUGUUGUCCUAAAAUGAGUCCUAAAAUACUAAUCACAUGAUCUGUUUGAGCUCUUGUAUCACUACUUUCCUUCAAGAUUCUGCUAAAGUUGAAAGUCAUAGUUUUCUUUUCAUUUUAUCUAAGUUAUAAUGCAUGUGAGUCAUGUAUCUCUCUUCUGAAUACUUCUCUUAUGUUGUUUUAAGCUUGUGUUCCCCUGUGUUAUAUCCAGAUUACCUGAAGUGGUUUAAGUAUUGUCCCUCUUGUGCUAUCUCUGUUCAUCUGAAUUGUUAAGCCUUAUAUUCCAUCUGUUCUGGUUGACUGAUUCAUGAAUUCUUUCUCUUGGGCUUUCCUGGUUUCAUGCUUAGUUCAGUGGAUAAAGAUGUUUAUUUUCCUAGUUGACCCUGCCCGGACUUGGGAACAUUUUAAGUGCCCUGUUAAUUAUGGGAUACCAAAGUCUGUGUUGGACUUGUGUAAAUCACUAUCCAGUAUUUAGUUGAUUAGUUUGAACUCAUAUUGGCCUUAGUCUAGGUUUGAACACUGUUUGAUAAGAAGGUUAAGAACCAAGACAAUCCUAAGAAGCAAAAUAGGUUUAAAAAUUGGAUUGAUGUCCUAAGGUGAUAUACACCAGCUAUAUUCAUAGGUUGAUAGAAGAAAAAAGAAGUAUACAUAUGGUAUACACUUAUAUGCAUGUCAAAUGUGUAUAUAUGAACAAGAAUAGUCAUAUAGGGUGUACAUCAACCAUUUUGAGGAGUAGAAGGCCCAUAGACUUGCAUACUUAGUUAAUAUUUGGAAUCGGCAGAAUUGCGGCCUGGCCCAUUUUAAGUCACUACAUAGAAAUCCAUAGCUCUCAUACUUAGAGCCCAUUUGGAUUAUGGCUUAUAAGUUGGUCAAACUAGCUUAUAAGUCAUUUUUAACUUAUUUGGGUGUUUGACAAAAAUAGAAAACAACUUAAAAUAAGUCAAAAAAAGUGCUUAAAAUAAGCCAAAAUCAAGAAGUUGCUCAAACCCCAACUUAUUUUUUUUGGCUUAAAAGCCAUUUUGGUUUGAUCAAUAACUUUACCAUUUUAUCCCUUAUAUUUUCUGUUAAUUCCAAUACUACCUUACUUCUAAAAACCCUUUAAGCACUUUUAUCCAAACACAUAACUGCUUAUUUAUAAAAUAACUUUUAGCACUUAAAAGUAUUAUAAGCACUUAUGCUUAAAAGCCACUUUUUUUUGGCUAAUCCAAACGGGCUCUUAGUCAAAACAGGGACCAAAUGGGGUUUGGGUAAAAUUAUUAAGAUGUGCUAGUGGGCUUCUAGGCCCAAUGCCCUGGAAGAUAUGUUUUACUUGUAUGUAUAUAUACGCCGUAUGCAUUUAUAAUAAGUUCAGUAGUAUUUUUCUAACCUGUUUCCCUUUUUCCUUCUUCCUUCCCACUGCAUGGCCACUUGGGCGGGGUCAAAACCGAACCUGUUGGGUCAAGGCCCAAGAGUUCAAUUCUUUCAAAGUUAUGGCAGUCCAGAUCGACGAAAGGGAAGCAAAUAUGUACGAGAAUGCAGUGAAGGUCCAACCAUGGGUGAAAAUAGUUAACUAGGGUCUUGAUUGGAAGCAAAAAAGGCUCCAGAUUCAUUCUUGUCUCGGCUGCGCAACAAAUAGGUGCAAUUCAGGUUCAUAAUUUUCAGGAAUUACCAAUUCAAGCUAAGAAGAUUCUAAUUUGGAAAAAAUAGGAAUUCCUAAUUUGAGAGUAAGAACUCUUCAAGACAAAGCACCAGAUUAAAGUCUUUGAUACCAGAACUAUAAGCCAUUGCUAAGUACAGUUUUUCAACAGACUGUGAGCUAUUGCAGCAUAUGUAUUAGGGUGGUAUCAGUGUGCUUGUCAUGCUCAUUCCUUAAUAUAAAUGUUGUAAUGCUCAUGAUCUAAGUAGCAGACUGUACUGGUUAUGGAUCAAGCAAAAUAGUGACCUGGUUUUCAUGCAGAAGGUGAUAUACACAGCAAUAUACAACUACUUUCAAGCUUGCCUGAAGAAUGAUUCAGAUGACUUGAAGCUUUCCACCUGUGAGACUUUGACGUGUGAUAGAAGUUAUCAAGCCAAGGCUCUUGGAUUCUUUUUGGUGUAAUCUGUUCAUGUCUACUUCUACUGGCCAUAAGUCACUAGAUUUUCCUGUGUUUUCUUUCAUUUUUUGGAUCAAUCUUGUUGGAUUGAUCUUUUCUUAUUUCUGUUCUUUGUUUUUAGCUGGAUCAAUCUGUUCUGGAUUGAUGUGUACAUAUUUUCUUUAUUAAUAAAAUUCCACCUUAA